This 430-nucleotide ribosomal RNA is filed under the name uncultured bacterium. Its description in RNAcentral is "partial 16S ribosomal RNA". It matches the Rfam family "Bacterial small subunit ribosomal RNA", at positions 354 to 796 of the family's 1533-position model. The record is from RNAcentral.
GUUAGGAAUAUUGCACAAUGGGCGAAAGCCUGAUGCAGCAACGCCGCGUGAGGGACGACGGCCUUCGGGUUGUAAACCUCUUUUAGUAGGGAAGAAGCGAAAGUGACGGUACCUGCAGAAAAAGCACCGGCUAACUACGUGCCAGCAGCCGCGGUAAUACGUAGGGUGCAAGCGUUAUCCGGAAUUAUUGGGCGUAAAGAGCUCGUAGGCGGUCUGUCGCGUCUGCUGUGAAAACUGGAGGCUCAACCUCCAGCCUGCAGUGGGUACGGGCAGACUAGAGUGCGGUAGGGGAGAUUGGAAUUCCUGGUGUAGCGGUGGAAUGCGCAGAUAUCAGGAGGAACACCGAUGGCGAAGGCAGAUCUCUGGGCCGUAACUGACGCUGAGGAGCGAAAGCGUGGGGAGCGAACAGGAUUAGAUACCCUGGUAGUCC